CGCCCAGCCACUCAGGAGCGGAUGACACACCAACCUAAGCUGAUGGAGUGGUGUUAGAAUCCAAGCUGGAAGAGCAGAAAUGCUUUCCUUGCCCUUUCUAGCCUUUUUGAGGCAUGGAGUCAGGGCCCAUUUCAAAGAUGUGCAUGUGGGGAGCUCACAUCACCUGGGACUGUAAUGUGUGGGCUGUGCUGAGUAUUUGCCUCCUGUCCUGGUAUCACUCUGCCUCCUACUCUCCACACUUUUGAGACGCUGUCGUCUGCACUGGGGCUCUCUGCGGUGCCUCGUCCGUCAUCAUGGGUCAUCCCAACGCGCCCUCGACAUUCACCACAGACCUGAGGCAUCUGAACGGAUGCUGUGCUCUGAGGAGUCUGGCAAACGGGCGCCCUGCUUCUAGGUUAUUCUGUGAUUGAAGCUUCACCCAGAGAUCUGCCAAGAAUGUGGACAGGAUGUCUUCAUCUAGCCCCAGCUUUAGGAGCUUCCAUGUGGGAUAUUUCCCCAUGAAGGACCUUGAUAACAAAGACGAGAAUACAGUCCUGUGGGAGUGUCUAGCUUCUGUUCCCACUGCCUCAUUAUAUGCAUGGCUUUUAAUAUUCGGAGAGCCUUUUGCCAAUACACAUUUUCUCAUGAACUGGGAAACUGGAGCCUGAAUGUGAUGUAUUAUUGAUAGGAUUAUAAUUUACUCCUCUCGGGUUGUAUCUACAGUGUAUACCAUUAGCACAAAAUAUUAAAUUACCAAUGGUUGUAUAUAUUUGUCUAUUCAGGUUUGGCUCAAUGAUAUUUGCC
Equus caballus (horse) is the source of this 783-nucleotide non-coding RNA. The record is from RefSeq and is a predicted model, not a curated record. Lineage: Eukaryota; Metazoa; Chordata; Mammalia; Perissodactyla; Equidae.